RNAcentral lists this non-coding RNA (70 nucleotides) under bovine gut metagenome. RNAcentral's name for it is "Glycine riboswitch". It matches the Rfam family "Glycine riboswitch aptamer", at positions 8 to 87 of the family's 94-position model. Rfam says of the family: This family represents the bacterial glycine riboswitch. The record is from RNAcentral.
GAAUCGGGAGAGAUCGCAAAUCCGCGGCGCCGAAGGGGCAUGCAAGAACUCUCAGGCAAAAGGACCGGUU